CACUGACGAUCCUCAGGAAAAUGAGAUACAGAAGUGACGCCCUCCUCGAACUAAAAG
Molecule: long non-coding RNA, 57 nt
Filed under: Meriones unguiculatus (Mongolian gerbil)
Lineage: Eukaryota; Metazoa; Chordata; Mammalia; Rodentia; Muridae
Source: RNAcentral